Non-coding RNA from Paramuricea clavata, 77 nucleotides. The record is from the annotation of a GenBank genome assembly. Lineage: Eukaryota; Metazoa; Cnidaria; Anthozoa; Malacalcyonacea; Plexauridae.
GCCUCUGUAGCUCAGUUGGUUAGAGCUCUGUGCACCCCGGAAUCACAGGGUCGCAGGUUCGAUUCCUACCAGAGGGU